This 519-nucleotide ribosomal RNA is filed under the name uncultured bacterium. RNAcentral describes it as "partial 16S ribosomal RNA". It matches the Rfam family "Bacterial small subunit ribosomal RNA", at positions 28 to 507 of the family's 1533-position model. The record is from RNAcentral.
GACGAACGCUGGCGGCGUGCCUAAUACAUGCAAGUCGAGCGAGUCUGCCUUGAAGAUCGGAGUGCUUGCACUCUGUGAAACAAGAUACAGGCUAGCGGCGGACGGGUGAGUAACACGUGGGUAACCUGCCCAAGAGAUCGGGAUAACACCUGGAAACAGAUGCUAAUACCGGAUAACAACAGAUGAUGCCUAUCAACUGUUUAAAAGGUGGUUCUGCUAUCACUCUUGGAUGGACCUGCGGUGCAUUAGCUAGUUGGUAGGGUAACGGCCUACCAAGGCGAUGAUGCAUAGCCGAGUUGAGAGACUGAUCGGCCACAUUGGGACUGAGACACGGCCCAAACUCCUACGGGAGGCAGCAGUAGGGAAUCUUCCACAAUGGACGCAAGUCUGAUGGAGCAACGCCGCGUGAGUGAAGAAGGGUUUCGGCUCGUAAAGCUCUGUUGUUGGUGAAGAAGGACAGGGGUAGUAACUGACCUUUGUUUGACGGUAAUCAAUUAGAAAGUCACGGCUAACUAAGUG